RNAcentral lists this ribosomal RNA (305 nucleotides) under uncultured bacterium. RNAcentral describes it as "bacterial SSU rRNA". It matches the Rfam family "Bacterial small subunit ribosomal RNA", at positions 338 to 640 of the family's 1533-position model. The record is from RNAcentral.
CCUACGGGAGGCAGCAGUGAGGAAUAUUGGUCAAUGGGAGAGAUCCUGAACCAGCCAAGCCGCGUGAGGGAAGACGGCCCUAUGGGUUGUAAACCUCUUUUGUCGGAGAACAAAACCCGGGACGUGUCCCGGACUGCGUGUAUCCGAAGAAAAAGCAUCGGCUAACUCCGUGCCAGCAGCCGCGGUAAUACGGAGGAUUCAAGCGUUAUCCGGAUUUAUUGGGUUUAAAGGGUGCGUGGGCGGUUCGAUAAGUUAGCGGUGAAAUCCCGGGGCUCAACUCCGGCACUGCCUCUGAUACCGUCGGG